CAUUAGAUAGCUUAAAGUAAGCAGUGGAAUUUUAAAUCAUUUUAUAUUAUAGUAACGAAUAAUUCUAAUG
This 70-nucleotide transfer RNA is filed under the name Gastrolina depressa. Its description in RNAcentral is "tRNA-Lys". The record is from RNAcentral. Lineage: Eukaryota; Metazoa; Arthropoda; Insecta; Coleoptera; Chrysomelidae.